RNAcentral lists this ribosomal RNA (863 nucleotides) under Enterococcus faecium. Its description in RNAcentral is "bacterial SSU rRNA". It matches the Rfam family "Bacterial small subunit ribosomal RNA", at positions 63 to 903 of the family's 1533-position model. Lineage: Bacteria; Bacillati; Bacillota; Bacilli; Lactobacillales; Enterococcaceae. The record is from RNAcentral.
GGGAUUCUUUUUACGGAGCUUGCUCACCGGAAAAGAGGAGUGGCGAACGGGUGAGUAACACGUGGGUAACCUGCCCAUCAGAAGGGGAUAACACUUGGAAACAGGUGCUAAUACCGUAUAACAAUCAAAACCGCAUGGUUUUGAUUUGAAAGGCGCUUUCGGGUGUCGCUGAUGGAUGGACCCGCGGUGCAUUAGCUAGUUGGUGAGGUAACGGCUCACCAAGGCCACGAUGCAUAGCCGACCUGAGAGGGUGAUCGGCCACAUUGGGACUGAGACACGGCCCAAACUCCUACGGGAGGCAGCAGUAGGGAAUCUUCGGCAAUGGACGAAAGUCUGACCGAGCAACGCCGCGUGAGUGAAGAAGGUUUUCGGAUCGUAAAACUCUGUUGUUAGAGAAGAACAAGGAUGAGAGUAACUGUUCAUCCCUUGACGGUAUCUAACCAGAAAGCCACGGCUAACUACGUGCCAGCAGCCGCGGUAAUACGUAGGUGGCAAGCGUUGUCCGGAUUUAUUGGGCGUAAAGCGAGCGCAGGCGGUUUCUUAAGUCUGAUGUGAAAGCCCCCGGCUCAACCGGGGAGGGUCAUUGGAAACUGGGAGACUUGAGUGCAGAAGAGGAGAGUGGAAUUCCAUGUGUAGCGGUGAAAUGCGUAGAUAUAUGGAGGAACACCAGUGGCGAAGGCGGCUCUCUGGUCUGUAACUGACGCUGAGGCUCGAAAGCGUGGGGAGCAAACAGGAUUAGAUACCCUGGUAGUCCACGCCGUAAACGAUGAGUGCUAAGUGUUGGAGGGUUUCCGCCCUUCAGUGCUGCAGCUAACGCAUUAAGCACUCCGCCUGGGGGAGUACGACCGCAAGGUUGAAACUCA